ACGCGAAGAACCUUACCUGGGCUUAAAUGUAGGACGACGACGUUUCGUGAAAGCGGAAUUUCCUUCGGGACGUCUUACAAGGUGCUGCAUGGUUGUCGUCAGCUCGUGCCGUGAGGUGUCGGGUUAAGUCCCAUAACGAGCGCAACCCUUAUCAUUAGUUGCCAUCAGGUAAUGCUGGGAACUCUAAUGAAACUGCCUACGCAAGUAGUGAGGAAGGUGGGGAUGACGUCAAAUCAGCACGGCCCUUAUGUCCAGGGCGACACACGUGCUACAAUGGCCAGUACAGAGGGUUGCUACCUGGUGACAGGAUGCUAAUCUCAAAAGCUGGUCUCAGUUCGGAUUGAAGUCUGCAACUCGACUUCAUGAAGUUGGAUUCGCUAGUAAUCGCGCAUCAGCCAUGGCGCGGUGAAUACGUUCCCGGGCCUUGUACACACCGCCCGUCAAGCCAUGGGAGUUGGCGGUACCUAAAGUCCGUAACCGCAAGGUGCCGUCCUAGGGUAAAACCAAUGACUGGGGCUAAGUCGUAACAAGGUAGCCGUA
Molecule: ribosomal RNA, 540 nt
Filed under: uncultured bacterium GR-WP33-K3
Lineage: Bacteria
Description: bacterial SSU rRNA
Rfam family: Bacterial small subunit ribosomal RNA
Source: RNAcentral